AGCGCCACAGCGGCUCCCUCAGCUCCCCGGGGCCUCAGCAUGGCGGCCACCACGGCGGGGGCAGCCCCUGCCGACCCUCGUCCUCGGCCGGCUCCCAGGCCGCCCCCGACUCAGUAAAACAGCGCCACGGACCGUUCUGCCUCAGCAACCCGGGACAUGUCGCUCUCGGGUCUCCUCAGCCUUGGGGUGCCGCCUCCCACCUCAGGAGCAACCUACCCCGCCGCCCUGCCCUCAGCCUGGACGCUUCAGCCAAUCGGAGUGCGGCCCUCAUUAAUUACCCACCACCCUGCCGAGAGCGGCCACGCUAUUGGCUAGUGUGUUCAGAAAGGGGCGUGGCCGCACCGAGGCUCCGGCCCAACCACCGGGCACGAGAAGGAGCGCGCGCAGAGGGAGGGAGUUCGGUUGAAGCAGCGGUUCCAUGCGGAAGUGAUGAAGCCAGGCCAGGAGGUAGCUAUCUGUAGCUGAGGACAGCAGCCAGUCCCUGUACCUGCUGAGCUACCUUGCCACCCCAAAAGCACUGUGUGAGCAUGGAGCACAUGGCUGGCUAAGUGUCAAUAAAUAAGUCUUAAGUGUUUGGAGGCACCGAGACUUGGAUUCAAA
Molecule: long non-coding RNA, 600 nt
Organism: Mastomys coucha (southern multimammate mouse)
Lineage: Eukaryota; Metazoa; Chordata; Mammalia; Rodentia; Muridae
Exons: 2
Source: RefSeq, a predicted model, not a curated record